UGGGGAAUUUUGGACAAUGGGCGAAAGCCUGAUCCAGCAAUGCCGCGUGUGUGAAGAAGGCCUUCGGGUUGUAAAGCACUUUUGUCCGGAAAGAAAUCCUUGGCUCUAAUACAGUCGGGGGAUGACGGUACCGGAAGAAUAAGCACCGGCUAACUACGUGCCAGCAGCCGCGGUAAUACGUAGGGUGCAAGCGUUAAUCGGAAUUACUGGGCGUAAAGCGUGCGCAGGCGGUUUGCUAAGACCGGUGUGAAAUCCCCGGGCUCAACCUGGGAACUGCAUUGGUGACUGGCAGGCUAGAGUAUGGCAGAGGGGGGUAGAAUUCCACGUGUAGCAGUGAAAUGCGUAGAGAUGUGGAGGAAUACCGAUGGCGAAGGCAGCCCCCUGGGCCAAUACUGACGCUCAUGCACGAAAGCGUGGGGGAGCAAAACAGGAUUAGAUACCCUGGUAGUCCACGCCCUAAACGAUGUCAACUAGUUGUUGGGGAUUCAUUUCCUUAGUAACGUAGCUAACGCGUGAAGUUGACCGCCUGGGGGAGUACGGUCGCAAGAUU
RNAcentral lists this ribosomal RNA (550 nucleotides) under uncultured bacterium. RNAcentral describes it as "partial 16S ribosomal RNA". It matches the Rfam family "Bacterial small subunit ribosomal RNA", at positions 355 to 895 of the family's 1533-position model. The record is from RNAcentral.